CACACACACACAGACAGCUUUGCUGCUGCCAAACCACAACACAAAAUUGUUUUUUCUUUUUCUUUUUAUGAGAAGAAAUGUCGGAGCACGGCAGGUCUCGGUGUAAAAAGUGACAUGGAGGAAUUUGCAACGCUGCCUCGUGUCCUGGACCACGUUCUUCCCUCCGGAGGCUCCCCGGCUCGUCUUCCUCAGUUUUAACCCUACGACGCUAACACUGCCGCCUUGGGGCCUCGGCACGGAGACGCGCUGCGUAGAUGUACCGAACCCAGUUGCCUCGACCGCCGCAGGAUGCAAGAGUGCGCUUCACAUCGCUUACAGUGUACAAUUAGUUCAGAAGGUCAGGCACGGGGAAAUACAUAUUCAGUGUGUUUUUAAGCCCAGCAGACUUUGAAUUAAUAGCUGUGACGAUAUUGCGUAUCCAACACUUUGAGAACAUGAAAUUCUUUUUUUUUUUUUUGCCACACUCAGAAGAAAUGGCAUUUUCCAACCGUGGUCACACGUGUAUGAGAAAACCGUUCAGAUCCAAUCUUUAUAUAUAUGGCCAUAUAUGGCAUUUUUUACUACAACGUUGCUGAUACUGAAGCUUUUGCCAUGUAACAAACCAGUCAAAACCAGUCAAAACCAGCCGAACCACCGAUUGUUUCCAGAUCGUAGCGAAUUAUGUUCACCAAGCAAGAUGCAUUUAAAAACACAAAGGCUUUUUUUCUGUCAAUAAAUGUCCUCUGUGUUAUUUCAUCAGACUGUGAUGCAGUGUCUAAAAUUAACUAAAUGUAGAGACACACUGAAAGAAAUCAGUAUUUUUAAGUGAAUUGGAUUUUAAAUGGACAUGACUGUUGCACAAUUGAAAUCUGGAAAAAACUAAACAUAACGGAAGACGGUCAUAGUAAAAUAAAUUAUUCUACUAAAUGUAUUUGCUUUCCCUGUAUACAUUAAAUUGGCAGCAGAACAUCUUCUCAAUCAAUGAUCU
Long non-coding RNA from Gasterosteus aculeatus aculeatus (three-spined stickleback), 967 nucleotides. Lineage: Eukaryota; Metazoa; Chordata; Actinopteri; Perciformes; Gasterosteidae. The record is from Ensembl.